CGCUAAACCAUACCCAAAAUGUUUUAUUCGGCCGUAAUAUACCUACAUCAAAAACCUAGUUGGGGCAGCCAGUAUACGGAAUAGCAAGUGGCUGCAUUUUAGGGAGGAGAUAGUCACAGGUCCCUGCGGACAAAGCAGAGUCAGAUUAGGUACGGUGUGUUGGCCGAGGACAGGAUAGCUGCUCUGGUCAACAACAAACAGCAUACUUCUCAAGAAGAACAUACAUGAAACGAGAUACAAAACUUUAUAUAGCUGCUGAGUGAUAGCCGACAAAAUAUGGUGCUAACUGUCCUGGAUUUGGAAGCUCUGUCCUGUGUCCCAUUCGGCCAAAUGUUCAAGGUGGUUGCUCGUGAACUGGGAGAAUAAAGUCAAAAGAAGCUCAAAAAUACUGUAGCUUAAAUCAUGAAC
Halichondria panicea is the source of this 408-nucleotide long non-coding RNA. RefSeq lists it as uncharacterized. The record is from RefSeq and is a predicted model, not a curated record. The transcript has 3 exons. NCBI's taxonomy places the organism in Eukaryota, Metazoa, Porifera, Demospongiae, Suberitida, Halichondriidae.